UACGGGGGGGGCAAGCGUUGUUCGGAAUUACUGGGCGUAAAGGGCUCGUAGGCGGCUUGUCGCGUCGUCCGUGAAAACUUGGGGCUCAACUCCAAGCUUGCGGUCGAUACGGGCAGGCUCGAGUUCGGUAGGGGAGACUGGAAUUCCUGGUGUAGCGGUGAAAUGCGCAGAUAUCAGGAGGAACACCGGUGGCGAAGGCGGGUCCCUGGGCCGAUACUGACGCUGAUGCGCGAAAGCCAGGGGAGCGAACGGG
RNAcentral lists this ribosomal RNA (253 nucleotides) under uncultured bacterium. Its description in RNAcentral is "partial 16S ribosomal RNA". It matches the Rfam family "Bacterial small subunit ribosomal RNA", at positions 524 to 776 of the family's 1533-position model. The record is from RNAcentral.